Molecule: long non-coding RNA, 2386 nt
Filed under: Nicotiana benthamiana
Lineage: Eukaryota; Viridiplantae; Streptophyta; Magnoliopsida; Solanales; Solanaceae
Description: long non-coding RNA (NBEN_LNC025421)
Source: RNAcentral
CUCUCCACCUACAUCAAGCCUCACCUCUUUCGACCACCAGCCGUCGUGGAGCCUUACUUCACCGCUUCUAUCCCCUCUGAGCCCCAUGAGUCUUCGCCAUGCAAGAUUGUCACUGGAGCUUUGCUAGGAUUAUUUCCGGCCUUUCUCUGUUGGAUUCUGGUGAGAUAAUGCUGUAAACACCAUUAUUCUCGAGUUUCACAGCCAGGUUUCUUUUGUUUCUCUCACUGGUUUUUUAUAAAACCCUAAUCUCAACCCAAAACUCUCAAACCUCUGAUUUUUAAUGAUUCUAACUCUUACUUUUAUGUUUUGCACUAUUUUCUACUCGAUCUUUACGAUUGCUCCGGUUUUAAAUGUUUUCGUAGCCCUUUUCGAAAAUACCUUAUCUUCUGAUUUUAAGUACUAAUCCAUUAUUCCAAGUACGAUUUCUAAGCUAUUUUUGCUCAAGUCUGAUGAAACCCCAGCUUUAUAUGUUUGUAUUUGUGUUAUUUGCUCGUCCGCUGGUUCUUCUGGAUUCUUCUCUGAGUUCUUUGUUCUUUGCUUUAGUUUUGUUGCUCGUGUUUCAGUCCCCUACUAUUCUGUGUUCUCUGCUUAGGGUUCUCUCCGAUAUUGUUCAAUAUGGGCUAUGUAUCGUUUGCUAAACUUAGCCAUUCGUCCUAUUGACUGUUUAGAUGGUGAUUUUAUACUGAUUCUUACAAGUUGUCUUCAAGACUAUGAUUACUUGCCUUAAAUUGUGAUUUUGUGUAUUCUCCUUAUAGUUUGGUAUUGAUUGGACACCUUCCUCAAUCAAUACUGAUCCCUUAAGUUUUCAGUCUCAUUCACUAUUUUGAAAACUAUUUUCCAAAAUUACAGUUAUAUUUUUCCCUAUAUAUGUGCACAAAUUUGUUGAUUGAUUUGCUUGACAUAUUUCCCUAGUUAAGUACCAUGCACCUAGUCUUCAUUGUAUACCUUAUACUAUUCUGUUUUCUUAUGUGACCAUACCAUGCUUUGUGAUUCCUUUGCUUUUAAAAUAAAUGUUUAUUACCGUUUGACUUUUAUUAUGUAAUUAAAGGAGAGUCCAUAUGUUGAUUUGAUUAUGAUUGAUACCCAGUUCCUUAAUUAUGGACUGCUACCUUGUUUAUUUACUCAUAUUCAGUACUAUAAGUACUCCCCAUUCUCUUUUACACGAACACAACUGACACACUGCAUAUCACAAACACAUAUGCAGUAAUCACAUUGCUCUCCCUUGUGUUAUUUCUCUACUUUUCUCUCUUAUGUAGUUGUUGCUCCCUACUCUUCACUAUUACUAGCUGGCUGAAAAGCAAAGGCUAAUAUUGUGCUCACAUUUGGCUCUUGCAUUCUGCUGUGCUCUCUUUGUUGCUAGUAUGUCCUGAUUAAAUUCUAUGUUCCAAACCAAAGUGGUUUUUGCUACUUCAGUAUGUUCUAUUCCUAAUUGUUUUCUACUUGUGCUUCUGUUGUGCAACCUGUGAUUGAUUCGUAGGCUGUCUAUUGAUACUUACAUGCUCAUGACCACUGUUUACCUGUUAUGGCUGCAUGUUGUUACUGUUUACUUUUGUGUCUCAAUUUGUCUAUUUCAAGGCCUCUUAAAUCUCUUUGAUUUUGUGAGUUUGCAUAUUUGUCCCCAUUACCCAUUAGCCUUGUGUGCAACCAUGCUCUUACAUGUGGACUAAUUGUCUCAUUUCCCUAUUUGUGUUUGCUUUCGUGAACUAUGGGUGAUAUUCUAGUUCUGAGAUUGUGAUACUUACCUUCUUACAAAACCGUCGCACUCUACUACUGUUUUCUCUCAAAAAGCUGAUUCUAUAGGGAUCAUUUUCAAAUUGUUUUCUCUCAACUUAAUUUCUUUUAAACUAUACCAGGCACUCUCACUACUCAUAAAGAUUAGGUUAUAACCCCUUAGUGUAAGCAUUGCUUUGGGUACCCCUAAACACCCACUGAACUUUGAUGCACAAGGCUGAUAAUUCCAUAUUGCACCUGUCCAACAAUCUUGGUAAGUGUUUGGUAUUGGCAUUGUCCAGGGACCCAAUGGGGGCCUUAAGGAGCUUUGUCGCACCCAGACCAUGGCAAAGGUUGUGAAACUCAAAAGGAGUGAGGUUGGAAGAAUGGGCCUGACUGAAGGCUCCAUAUAGAAUAACUUCUGCUUUUCCUUAUUACUGUAAUUCAGCUAUCCUUGGUUUGUAAUAAUUUACAAAUGAACGAUUGGGGCUGGAUUUUGAAUAUGGGGGUUAUGUAUGCUUAGUUUAAUCAAUGGGUAGACAACAUGCUUAUAGGAUUUUAUUUACUUAUUUGUGCAAUAGAUAUCCUAUAUAGGACAUGUAUCUCAUUCAUUAGAGAUCCUGCUUUAGGUUUUGUACUUUCAACCUGUUCUUAUACUCAUAUUGUAACCUUGAUC